RNAcentral lists this ribosomal RNA (379 nucleotides) under uncultured bacterium. Its description in RNAcentral is "bacterial SSU rRNA". It matches the Rfam family "Bacterial small subunit ribosomal RNA", at positions 129 to 507 of the family's 1533-position model. The record is from RNAcentral.
CCCAUCACUUGGGGAUAACUUUGCGAAAGUAAGACUAAUACCCAAUGACGUCUCUAGAAGACAUCUGAAAGAGAUUAAAGAUUUAUCGGUGAUGGAUGGGGAUGCGUCUGAUUAGCUUGUUGGCGGGGUAACGGCCCACCAAGGCGACGAUCAGUAGGGGUUCUGAGAGGAAGGCCCCCCACAUUGGAACUGAGACACGGUCCAAACUCCUACGGGAGGCAGCAGUGAGGAAUAUUGGUCAAUGGACGAGAGUCUGAACCAGCCAAGUAGCGUGCAGGAUGACGGCCCUAUGGGUUGUAAACUGCUUUUAUAAGGGAAUAAAGUGAGUCUCGUGAGACUUUUGCAUGUACCUUAUGAAUAAGGACCGGCUAAUUCCGUG